GCUACCACAUCCAAGGAAGGCAGCAGGCGCGCAAAUUACCCACUCCCGGCACGGGGAGGUAGUGACGAAAAAUAACGAUACGGGACUCAUCCGAGGCCCCGUAAUCGGAAUGAGCACACUUUAAAUCCUUUAACGAGUAUCCAUUGGAGGGCAAGUCUGGUGCCAGCAGCCGCGGUAAUUCCAGCUCCAAUAGCGUAUAUUAAAGUUGUUGCGGUUAAAAAGCUCGUAGUCGGACUUGUGUCACACGCUGCCGGUUCACCGCCCGUCGGUGUUUAACUGGCAUGCACGUGCUGACGUCCUGCCGGUGGCCCAAGCGGGUCCGGGAGCUCUGGGUGCGGGAUUCCCUUCGGGGGCCCGCCUCGAACCCGGUGUCCUGGGAGGGCCUACUCAUACCCCUCGCGGUGCUCUUAACCGAGUGUCUCGAUGGGCCGGCACGUUUACUUUGAACAAAUUAGAG
Molecule: ribosomal RNA, 457 nt
Filed under: Macropanesthia saxicola
Lineage: Eukaryota; Metazoa; Arthropoda; Insecta; Blattodea; Blaberidae
Also listed under: 2 other names
Description: SSU rRNA
Rfam family: Eukaryotic small subunit ribosomal RNA
Source: RNAcentral